UCGGGGCAUCGCAGGCUCCCGGCGUCUCAAAGACGGGUACCCGUCCAAGUCCUGC
This 55-nucleotide non-coding RNA is filed under the name unclassified sequences. RNAcentral describes it as "chromate-resist RNA". It matches the Rfam family "chrB-b RNA". The record is from RNAcentral.